This 48-nucleotide non-coding RNA is filed under the name Schistosoma mattheei. The record is from RNAcentral. Lineage: Eukaryota; Metazoa; Platyhelminthes; Trematoda; Strigeidida; Schistosomatidae.
AUCCAGCUGACGAGUCUCAAAUAAGACGAAAAGUGCAUCAAACUGGAU